GAUGAAGAACGCAGCGAAAUGCGAUAAGUAAUGUGAAUUGCAGAAUUCAGUGAAUCAUCGAAUCUUUGAACGCACCUUGCGCCCCUUGGUUAUUCCAAAGGGCAUGCCUGUUUGAGUAUCAUGAACACCUCAACUCUUGUGGUUUCCCACAAUGAGCUUGGACUGUGGAGGUUUUGUUGGCCCUGUGGUCAGCUCCUCUCAAAUGGAUCAGCUUACCGGUGUUUGGUGGCAUUACGGGUGUGAUAACUAUCUACGCUCGUGGUCGUCUCCAAAUAACCUCCAGUGAUGGAGGUUCGCUGGAGCUUAUAAAUGUCUCUCACCAGUGAAGACAGCCUUUGAACGUUCGAUCUCAAAUCAGGUAGGACUACCCGCUGAACUUAAGCAUAUCAAUAAGCGGAGGA
RNAcentral lists this unclassified non-coding RNA (401 nucleotides) under soil metagenome. RNAcentral's name for it is "partial contains 5.8S ribosomal RNA, internal transcribed spacer 2, and large subunit ribosomal RNA". The stretch from base 1 to 121 matches the Rfam family "5.8S ribosomal RNA", at positions 35 to 154 of the family's 154-position model. The record is from RNAcentral.